UCAUAGAAGACGUCAUGAUAAAGCGAUCCCCGGGGCGGCUGCAAGAGACGAGGGAAUUGCUAGUAAAACAUAGAAAAUUACUACAGCAGGCUGCGCUUUUUCUGGAUCAGUUUUCUGAUGAAAUAAGAGCUUGACAUGGUCGCGCAGGCAUUGCAUAAGUACACUUUGAUCGUCCCGAAUAACAGCUGAAGGUAGAGUGUAGACGCUUGGGUGUUGUGUGGAAAUACUCUGAUCAUCUUCAGCACAGUGCCGGAGAAUCCAUUUAUAAGUCGGAUGGCACGCACUAAAAUAAUUUGAUUUAAAUUUGCGGGAUGUGGCCAGACUGCCAAACAACAAGACAUCUGGUUCUUUUGAUGAAUAGGACUCUGGAGAUAAAAGGAACUACAUGUGAACGUAUCUAGACAUCCGUCUUUUUUGAUCAUUUGGCAUUUGCACAGUGGCAGCAGGAGUUGCCGAGUCCAGAGGCAGCGUGUCCAUGACCUCGCUGCUACUCCUAAAUGCAAGACUGGAAACGGACUUGAUUGAUUGUUAACCCAUCGAUAUCUGGCGCUGCUGUACACUAUUAACAACACAACUAAAAAAGCAACAUUAUUUGCAAGGCGAAGAGACAGUGGGGAAAAAGAGAAUGGCUCUGACUUUAGGACAAGCCUGGAGGUUGGGGUGGAUUCUGCUGAAAGCUGUCCUCCGGUUCAUCUUCAUGAUCAUGAAUAACCUUGCUGCCAUCCCUUCAUAUGUUUUAUAUUUGAUAGUACUGCAGCCUGUUCGGCUGAUGGACAGUCGCACUUUUUGGCACAUUGAAGGAGUGAUGUUUAAAUGGCUAUUGGCAAUGGUGUCUUCGUGGGGCUGGGCUGCAGGAUAUAC
Long non-coding RNA from Polyodon spathula (Mississippi paddlefish), 861 nucleotides. RefSeq lists it as uncharacterized. The transcript is spliced from 3 exons. Lineage: Eukaryota; Metazoa; Chordata; Actinopteri; Acipenseriformes; Polyodontidae. The record is from RefSeq and is a predicted model, not a curated record.